GGGUUGUGAGGUUAAGCGACUAAGCGUACACGGUGGAUGCCCUGGCAGUCAGAGGCGAUGAAGGACGUGCUAAUCUGCGAAAAGCGUCGGUAAGGUGAUAUGAACCGUUACAGCCGGCGAUGUCCGAAUGGGGAAACCCAGUGUGAUUCGUCACACUAUCGUUAACUGAAUACAUAGGUUAACGAGGCGAACCGGGGGAACUGAAACAUCUAAGUACCCCGAGGAAAAGAAAUCAACCGAGAUUCCCCCAGUAGCGGCGAGCGAACGGGGAGCAGCCCAGAGUCUGAAUCAGCUUGUGUGUUAGUGGAACGGUCUGGAAAGUCCGACGGUACAGGGUGAUAGUCCCGUACACCAAAAUGCACAGGCUGUGAACUCGAAGAGUAGGGCGGGACACGUGGUAUCCUGUCUGAAUAUGGGGGGACCAUCCUCCAAGGCUAAAUACUCCUGACUGACCGAUAGUGAACCAGUACCGUGAGGGAAAGGCGAAAAGAACCCCGGCGAGGGGAGUGAAAAAGAACCUGAAACCGUGUACGUACAAGCAGUGGGAGCACCUUCGGGUGUGACUGCGUACCUUUUGUAUAAUGGGUCAGCGACUUAUAUUCUGUAGCAAGGUUAACCGUAUAGGGGAGCCGCAGGGAAACCGAGUCUUAACUGGGCGUUAAGUUGCAGGGUAUAGACCCGAAACCCGGUGAUCUAGCCAUGGGCAGGUUGAAGGUUGGGUAACACUAACUGGAGGACCGAACCGACUAAUGUUGAAAAAUUAGCGGAUGACUUGUGGCUGGGGGUGAAAGGCCAAUCAAACCGGGAGAUAGCUGGUUCUCCCCGAAAGCUAUUUAGGUAGCGCCUCGUGAACUCAUCUUCGGGGGUAGAGCACUGUUUCGGCUAGGGGGUCAUCCCGACUUACCAACCCGAUGCAAACUACGAAUACCGAAGAAUGUUAUCACGGGAGACACACGGCGGGUGCUAACGUCCGUCGUGAAGAGGGAAACAACCCAGACCGCCAGCUAAGGUCCCAAAGUCAUGGUUAAGUGGGAAACGAUGUGGGAAGGCACAGACAGCCAGGAUGUUGGCUUAGAAGCAGCCAUCAUUUAAAGAAAGCGUAAUAGCUCACUGGUCGAGUCGGCCUGCGCGGAAGAUGUAACGGGGCUAAACCAUGCACCGAAGCUGCGGCAGCGACACUAUGUGUUGUUGGGUAGGGGAGCGUUCUGUAAGCCUGCGAAGGUGACCUGUGAGGGUUGCUGGAGGUAUCAGAAGUGCGAAUGCUGACAUAAGUAACGAUAAAGCGGGUGAAAAGCCCGCUCGCCGGAAGACCAAGGGUUCCUGUCCAACGUUAAUCGGGGCAGGGUGAGUCGACCCCUAAGGCGAGGCCGAAAGGCGUAGUCGAUGGGAAACAGGUUAAUAUUCCUGUACUUGGUGUUACUGCGAAGGGGGGACGGAGAAGGCUAUGUUAGCCGGGCGACGGUUGUCCCGGUUUAAGCAUGUAGGCUGGUUGUCCAGGCAAAUCCGGAUAAUCAAGGCUGAGGUGUGAUGACGAGGCACUACGGUGCUGAAGUAACAAAUGCCCUGCUUCCAGGAAAAGCCUCUAAGCAUCAGGUAACAUCAAAUCGUACCCCAAACCGACACAGGUGGUCAGGUAGAGAAUACCAAGGCGCUUGAGAGAACUCGGGUGAAGGAACUAGGCAAAAUGGUGCCGUAACUUCGGGAGAAGGCACGCUGGUGUGUAGGUGAAGUCCCUGCGGAUGGAGCUGAGACCAGUCGAAGAUACCAGCUGGCUGCAACUGUUUAUUAAAAACACAGCACUGUGCAAACACGAAAGUGGACGUAUACGGUGUGACGCCUGCCCGGUGCCGGAAGGUUAAUUGAUGGGGUUAUCCGUAAGGAGAAGCUCUUGAUCGAAGCCCCGGUAAACGGCGGCCGUAACUAUAACGGUCCUAAGGUAGCGAAAUUCCUUGUCGGGUAAGUUCCGACCUGCACGAAUGGCGUAAUGAUGGCCAGGCUGUCUCCACCCGAGACUCAGUGAAAUUGAACUCGCUGUGAAGAUGCAGUGUACCCGCGGCAAGACGGAAAGACCCCGUGAACCUUUACUAUAGCUUGACACUGAACAUUGAGCCUUGAUGUGUAGGAUAGGUGGGAGGCUUUGAAGCGUGGACGCCAGUCUGCGUGGAGCCAACCUUGAAAUACCACCCUUUAAUGUUUGAUGUUCUAACGUUGGCCCCUUACCGGGGUUGCGGACAGUGUCUGGUGGGUAGUUUGACUGGGGCGGUCUCCUCCCAAAGCGUAACGGAGGAGCACGAAGGUUAGCUAAUCCUGGUCGGACAUCAGGAGGUUAGUGCAAUGGCAUAAGCUAGCUUGACUGCGAGCGUGACGGCGCGAGCAGGUGCGAAAGCAGGUCAUAGUGAUCCGGUGGUUCUGAAUGGAAGGGCCAUCGCUCAACGGAUAAAAGGUACUCCGGGGAUAACAGGCUGAUACCGCCCAAGAGUUCAUAUCGACGGCGGUGUUUGGCACCUCGAUGUCGGCUCAUCACAUCCUGGGGCUGAAGUAGGUCCCAAGGGUAUGGCUGUUCGCCAUUUAAAGUGGUACGCGAGCUGGGUUUAGAACGUCGUGAGACAGUUCGGUCCCUAUCUGCCGUGGGCGCUGGAGAAUUGAGGGGGGCUGCUCCUAGUACGAGAGGACCGGAGUGGACGCAUCACUGGUGUUCGGGUUGUCAUGCCAAUGGCACUGCCCGGUAGCUAAAUGCGGAAGAGAUAAGUGCUGAAAGCAUCUAAGCACGAAACUUGCCCCGAGAUGAGUUCUCCCUGAGACUUUAAGUCUCCUGAAGGAACGUUAAAGACGAUGACGUUGAUAGGCCGGGUGUGUAAGCGCAGCGAUGCGUUGAGCUAACCGGUACUAAUGAACCGUGAGGCUUAACCUUACAACGCCGAAG
RNAcentral lists this ribosomal RNA (2923 nucleotides) under Klebsiella pneumoniae. RNAcentral's name for it is "bacterial LSU rRNA". It matches the Rfam family "Bacterial large subunit ribosomal RNA". The record is from RNAcentral. Lineage: Bacteria; Pseudomonadati; Pseudomonadota; Gammaproteobacteria; Enterobacterales; Enterobacteriaceae.